Dalotia coriaria is the source of this 630-nucleotide long non-coding RNA. RefSeq lists it as uncharacterized. Lineage: Eukaryota; Metazoa; Arthropoda; Insecta; Coleoptera; Staphylinidae. The transcript is spliced from 3 exons. The record is from RefSeq and is a predicted model, not a curated record.
UUCGUAGUGUAGUGGUUAUCACGUGUGCUUCACACGCACAAGGUCCCCGGUUCGAUCCCGGGCGGAAACAUUGCCUUUUAACAAAACGUGCAUUUUGUUUAUAAGUUAACACAGCCAUAAAUAAGACACCGUGUCUAUCUUUAUCUUCGUAUAUCUCUUACGCUUCUUACAUCUUGCUGUCGACCGUGAAUGACAGCAUGACAAGUUAAAUUUCUAGUCGAACACAGCACUGCGGAGUGUAAAAUAGAGAAUUUCGUUAAAUGAUCGCGCGAGGUGCAAAAAACAAAACCGACCGACCCUCGAAUUAUGCAGUGGAGUUUACUCGCUGCAGCACAACACAACACAACAACAUCGACAUCAACGUCGCGUAAAUUCCAAUGGAUUAUUCGUGACGCAAAAGAUGUCAACAGGCAAUAAACCCCGAAAGUAAAACCUCGAAAACUGCAUUCUCCGUGCAGUUUCGAGGCGUUGAACUUCCACCACAGGCAAAGAAAGUCGUGUGGUCAUCGCUGCAUCCUGAUUUUCCUGUUCAGCUGGCUACCUGCAUCAACCCGAGGCUCCUGCACUUUGCUUUAGCAAAUUUACGCACGUAGUUUGUAUUAUAAACUACUUUCAUAUAGUAACAGAGUG